Long non-coding RNA from Labrus mixtus (cuckoo wrasse), 408 nucleotides. RefSeq lists it as uncharacterized. The transcript is spliced from 3 exons. The record is from RefSeq and is a predicted model, not a curated record. NCBI's taxonomy places the organism in Eukaryota, Metazoa, Chordata, Actinopteri, Labriformes, Labridae.
CAUGGAGAAGGCAGCGAAGGUUCCAGCAAGUCCCUGACCGCUCAUGAUCGGAGUCGUGUACGACGCCGGCAACAACCCCGCCAUCCCGAACAGAGAACCUUGAAGAACCGCCCCGAACGCUUUGAUGAUGACUAUCUUCACCAUGGUAACGAUGAAGAAGGGCAGCGGCUCCAGAGGAACUUUGACCAGGACAGCGGUGACGAUGAAGACGGACAUGAUGAUGAACAGACUGCCCAUCACCCGCAGACGCUGGGAGACGCUGACAGAGGAAGAGGAGGGUCAGGUGAGAGAAGAGGAAGAGGAAGAGGAAGAGGGGAGUAGGAGGAGGGUCAGAGGAAGAUGAGGGACAGAAGGAGGAAGAGGCAGGUCAGAAUAAGAGUACCACUAGUCUAACUACCCAACCAUUUC